Molecule: ribosomal RNA, 468 nt
Filed under: uncultured bacterium
Lineage: Bacteria
Description: partial 16S ribosomal RNA
Rfam family: Bacterial small subunit ribosomal RNA
Source: RNAcentral
UCCUCCCUCUUUCUUCGUGCUUAACACAUGCAAGUCGAACGGAAAGGCCCUGCUUUUGUGGGGUGCUCGAGUGGCGAACGGGUGAGUAACACGUGAGUAACCUGCCCUUGACUUUGGGAUAACGUCAGGAAACUGGGGCUAAUACCGGAUAGGAGCUCCUGCUGCAUGGUGGGGGUUGGAAAGUUUCGGCGGUUGGGGAUGGACUCGCGGCUUAUCAGCUUGUUGGUGGGGUAGUGGCUUACCAAGGCUUUGACGGGUAGCCGGCCUGAGAGGGUGACCGGCCACAUUGGGACUGAGAUACGGCCCAGACUACUACGGGAGGCAGCAGUGGGGAAUAUUGCACAAUGGGCGGAAGCCUGAUGCAGCAACGCCGCGUGCGGGAUGACGGCCUUCGGGUUGUAAACCGCUUUCGCCUGUGACGAAGCGUGAGUGACGGUAAUGGGUAAAGAAGCACCGGCUAACUACGUG